Molecule: long non-coding RNA, 1445 nt
Organism: Oncorhynchus keta (chum salmon)
Lineage: Eukaryota; Metazoa; Chordata; Actinopteri; Salmoniformes; Salmonidae
Exons: 7
Source: RefSeq, a predicted model, not a curated record
UACAUUAAUGAGGGUAAAGUGACUAGGCAUCAGGAUAGAUAAUAACAAGGUAAUUGAGGUAGAUAUUUACAUUAAGGAGGGUAAAGUGACUAGGCAUCAGGAUAGAUAAUAACAAGGUAAUUGAGGUAGAUAUUUACAUUAAGGAGGGUAAAGUGACUAGGCAUCAGGAUAGAUAAUAACAAGGUAAUUGAGGUAGAUAUUUACAUUAAGGAGGGUAAAGUGACUAGGCAUCAGGAUAGAUAAUAACAAGGUAAUUGAGGUAGAUAUUUACAUUAAGGAGGGUAAAGUGACUAGGCAUCAGGAUAGAUAAUAACAAGGUAAUUGAGGUAGAUAUUUACAUUAAGGAGGGUAAAGUGACUAGGCAUCAGGAUAGAUAAUAACAAGGUAAUUGAGGUAGAUAUUUACAUUAAGGAGGGUAAAGUGACGAGGCAUCAGGAUAGAUAAUAACAAGGUAAUUGAGGUAGAUAUUUACAUUAAGGAGGGUAAAGUGACGAGGCAUCAGGAUAGAUAAUAACAAGGUAAUUGAGGUAGAUAUUUACAUUAAGGAGGGUAAAGUGACUAGGCAUCAGGAUAGAUAAUAACAAGGUAAUUGAGGUAGAUAUUUACAUUAAGGAGGGUAAAGUGACUAGGCAUCAGGAUAGAUAAUAACAAGGUAAUUGAGGUAGAUAUUUACAUUAAGGAGGGUAAAGUGACUAGGCAUCAGGAUAGAUAAUAACAAGGUAAUUGAGGUAGAUAUUUACAUUAAGGAGGGUAAAGUGACUAGGCAUCAGGAUAGAUAAUAACAAGGUAAUUGAGGUAGAUAUUUACAUUAAGGAGGGUAAAGUGACUAGGCAUCAGGAUAGAUAAUAACAAGGUAAUUGAGGUAGAUAUUUACAUUAAGGAGGGUAAAGUGACUAGGCAUCAGGAUAGAUAAUAACAAGGUAAUUGAGGUAGAUAUUUACAUUAAGGAGGGUAAAGUGACUAGGCAUCAGGAUAGAUAAUAACAAGGUAAUUGAGGUAGAUAUUUACAUUAAGGAGGGUAAAGUGACUAGGCAUCAGGAUAGAUAAUAACAAGGUAAUUGAGGUAGAUAUUUACAUUAAGGAGGGUAAAGUGACUAGGCAUCAGGAUAGAUAAUAACAAGGUAAUUGAGGUAGAUAUUUACAUUAAGGAGGGUAAAGUGACUAGGCAUCAGGAUAGAUAAUAACAAGGUAAUUGAGGUAGAUAUUUACAUUAAGGAGGGUAAAGUGACUAGGCAUCAGGAUAGAUAAUAACAAGGUAAUUGAGGUAGAUAUUUACAUUAAGGAGGGUAAAGUGACUAGGCAUCAGGAUAGAUAAUAACAAGGUAAUUGAGGUAGAUAUUUACAUUAAGGAGGGUAAAGUGACUAGGCAUCAGGAUAGAUAAUAACAAGGUAAUUGAGGUAGAUAUUUACAUUAAGGAGGGUAAAGUGGCAUCAGGAUAGAUAAU